RNAcentral lists this ribosomal RNA (554 nucleotides) under Neopsylla specialis. Its description in RNAcentral is "partial 16S ribosomal RNA". It matches the Rfam family "Bacterial large subunit ribosomal RNA", at positions 1797 to 2621 of the family's 2925-position model. The record is from RNAcentral. Lineage: Eukaryota; Metazoa; Arthropoda; Insecta; Siphonaptera; Ctenophthalmidae.
CGCCUGUUUAACAAAAACAUGUCUUUUUGAUUAUAAUAUAAAGUCUAAUCUGCCCAUUGAUAUUUAUUAAAAGGCCGCGGUAUUUUGACCGUGCAAAGGUAGCAUAAUCAAUAGUUUCUUAAUUAGAAGCUGGAAUGAAUGAUUGAAUGAAAUAUAAACUGUCUUUAUUUAAUUGUUAUAGAAAUUAAUUUUUGAGUUAAAAAGCUUAAAUAAGAUUAAAGGACGAGAAGACCCUUUAAAGCUUUAUAUAGAAAUUAUAAGUAAAUUUUAAUAUUAUUUUAAUUAUUUUUAAUUAUAUAUUUUAUUGGGGCGAUAGGAAAAUUUAUGAAACUUUUUUUUUAUUUUAAAACAAUUAUUAUUGGGUAAUUGAUCCAUAUUUUGUGAUUAUAAGAUUAAGUUACUUAAGGGAUAACAGCGUAAUAUUUUUUGAGAGAACUAAUCGACAAAAAAGAUUGCGACCUCGAUGUUGGAUUAAGAUAAUUUUUAGGUGCAGAAGUUUAAAAAUUUGGUCUGUUCGACCAUUAAUUCUUACAUGAUCUGAGUUCAAACCGGAG